RNAcentral lists this ribosomal RNA (492 nucleotides) under uncultured bacterium. Its description in RNAcentral is "partial 16S ribosomal RNA". It matches the Rfam family "Bacterial small subunit ribosomal RNA", at positions 30 to 507 of the family's 1533-position model. The record is from RNAcentral.
AUUGAACGCUGGCGGCAUGCUUUACACAUGCAAGUCGAACGGUAACAGGCCUUCGGGUGCUGACGAGUGGCGAACGGGUGAGUAAUGCAUCGGAACGUGCCCAGAGGUGGGGGAUAACGCAGCGAAAGCUGUGCUAAUACCGCAUGUGAUCUGAGGAUGAAAGCGAGGGACCAGGCAGCAAUGUUUGGCCUCGCGCCUUUGGAGCGGCCGAUGUCAGAUUAGGUAGUUGGUGGGGUAAAGGCCUACCAAGCCGACGAUCUGUAGCUGGUCUGAGAGGACGACCAGCCACACUGGGACUGAGACACGGCCCAGACUCCUACGGGAGGCAGCAGUGGGGAAUUUUGGACAAUGGGCGCAAGCCUGAUCCAGCAAUGCCGCGUGCGGGAAGAAGGCCUUCGGGUUGUAAACCGCUUUUGUACGGAACGAAAAGGCUCUGGCUAAUACCUGGGGCUGAUGACGGUACCGUAAGAAUAAGCACCGGCUAACUACGUG